Molecule: ribosomal RNA, 252 nt
Filed under: uncultured prokaryote
Description: partial 16S rRNA
Rfam family: Archaeal small subunit ribosomal RNA
Source: RNAcentral
ACCGGCAGCUCAAGUGGUGGCCAUUUUUAUUGGGCCUAAAGCGUUCGUAGCCGGUUUGAUAAGUCUCUGGUGAAAUCCCGCAGCUUAACUGUGGGACUUGCUGGAGAUACUAUUAGACUUGAGGUCGGGAGAGGUUAGGGGUACUCCCAGGGGAUGGAUGACAUCCUAGAGGCCGGAGAGGACCGCCUGUAGCGAAGGCUCCUAACUGGAUCGAACCUGAAGGUUGAUAACGAACUCCAGGGGCACAAACGG